RNAcentral lists this ribosomal RNA (446 nucleotides) under uncultured bacterium. RNAcentral describes it as "bacterial SSU rRNA". It matches the Rfam family "Bacterial small subunit ribosomal RNA", at positions 329 to 792 of the family's 1533-position model. The record is from RNAcentral.
CGCCAGACUCCUACGGGAGGCAGCAGUGGGGAAUAUUGCACAAUGGGGGAAACCCUGAUGCAGCGACGCCGCGUGAGUGAAGAAGUAUUUCGGUAUGUAAAGCUCUAUCAGCAGGGAAGAAAAUGACGGUACCUGACUAAGAAGCCCCGGCUAACUACGUGCCAGCAGCCGCGGUAAUACGUAGGGGGCAAGCGUUAUCCGGAUUUACUGGGUGUAAAGGGAGCGUAGACGGCAUGGCAAGUCAGAUGUGAAAGCCCGGGGCUCAACCCCGGGACUGCAUUUGAAACUGUCAGGCUGGAGUGCAGGAGAGGUAAGUGGAAUUCCUAGUGUAGCGGUGGAAUGCGUAGAUAUUAGGAGGAACACCAGAGGCGAAGGCGAUUAACUGGACCGUAACUGACGCUGAGGCACGAAAGUGUGGGUAGCAAACAGGAUUAGAUACCCGAGUA